AGUGAACGCUGGCGGUAGGCCUAACACAUGCAAGUCGAACGGCAGCACAGUAAGAGCUUGCUCUUACGGGUGGCGAGUGGCGGACGGGUGAGGAAUACAUCGGAAUCUACUUUUUCGUGGGGGAUAACGUAGGGACACUUACGCUAAUACCGCAUACGACCUACGGGUGAAAGCAGGGGAUCUUCCGACAUUGCGCGAUCGAAUGAGCCCAUGUCGGAUUAGCUAGUUGGAGGGGUAAAGGCCCACCAAGGCGACGAUCCGUAGCUGGUCUGAGAGGAUGAUCAGCCACACUGGAACUGAGACACGGUCCAGACUCCUACGGGAGGCAGCAGUGGGGAAUAUUGGACAAUGGGCGCAAGCCUGAUCCAGCCAUGCCGCGUGGGUGAAGAAGGCCUUCGGGUUGUAAAGCCCUUUUGUUGGGAAAGAAAAGCAGCAGGUUAAUACCCCGCUGUUCUGACGGUACCCAAAGAAUAAGCACCGGCUAACUUCGUG
This 492-nucleotide ribosomal RNA is filed under the name uncultured bacterium. RNAcentral's name for it is "partial 16S ribosomal RNA". It matches the Rfam family "Bacterial small subunit ribosomal RNA", at positions 29 to 507 of the family's 1533-position model. The record is from RNAcentral.